GGGGUUGUAGUCCAGCUUGGUUAAGAUUCCAGGUUUGGGACCUGGCGACCCCGGUUCAAAUCCGGGCAACCCCA
Molecule: transfer RNA, 74 nt
Filed under: Candidatus Pacearchaeota archaeon CG10_big_fil_rev_8_21_14_0_10_34_76
Lineage: Archaea; Nanobdellati
Description: tRNA-Pro
Rfam family: tRNA
About the family: Transfer RNA (tRNA) molecules are approximately 80 nucleotides in length. Their secondary structure includes four short double-helical elements and three loops (D, anti-codon, and T loops).
Source: RNAcentral